This 497-nucleotide ribosomal RNA is filed under the name uncultured bacterium. RNAcentral describes it as "partial 16S ribosomal RNA". It matches the Rfam family "Bacterial small subunit ribosomal RNA", at positions 28 to 507 of the family's 1533-position model. The record is from RNAcentral.
GAUGAACGCUGGCGGCGUGCCUAAUACAUGCAAGUCGAGCGAACGGACGAGAAGCUUGCUUCUCUGAUGUUAGCGGCGGACGGGUGAGUAACACGUGGAUAACCUACCUAUAAGACUGGGAUAACUUCGGGAAACCGGAGCUAAUACCGGAUGAUAUUUUGAACCGCAUGGUUCAAAAGUGAAAGACGGUCUUGCUGUCACUUAUAGAUGGAUCCGCGCUGCAUUAGCUAGUUGGUAAGGUAACGGCUUACCAAGGCAACGAUGCAUAGCCGACCUGAGAGGGUGAUCGGCCACAAUGGAACUGAGACACGGUCCAGACUCCUAAGGGAGGCAGCAGUAGGGAAGCUUCCGCAAUGGGCGAAAGCCUGACGGAGCAACGCCGCGUGAGUGAUGAAGGUCCUCGGAUCGUAAAACCCUGUUAUUAGGGAAGAACAUAUGUGUAAGUAACUGUGCACAUCUUGACGGUACCUAAUCAGAAAGCCACGGCUAACUACGUG